UGGUACUUAGAAUGCAGUGGGAACUUCGGUUAGAGGGUGCGAGGGGCGAGAAAGUGUAAAGAGAUGUACAUCAAGUCUGUGUGUCAGUGUUUGCUCAACGCAAAUAGACUUUAUGUCAACUCUGGCUCCCUCCAUCCUUACCUGAGCUCUGGAGGACAGGACCAUGUCCAACUCAUCCAGGACCUUGGAGCAGUACUGCAAGUGAACUAUGUGUGGUGAAAGACUAGCGUUUUACUUUCCCAAUCCAUUGCAGACUGGUACUUUCAUUAAAAUACAAUAAUACGUGACAAUGUCAUUUUGCUACAAACA
Molecule: long non-coding RNA, 309 nt
Organism: Molossus molossus (Pallas's mastiff bat)
Lineage: Eukaryota; Metazoa; Chordata; Mammalia; Chiroptera; Molossidae
Exons: 2
Source: RefSeq, a predicted model, not a curated record